Molecule: non-coding RNA, 816 nt
Organism: Oryctolagus cuniculus (rabbit)
Lineage: Eukaryota; Metazoa; Chordata; Mammalia; Lagomorpha; Leporidae
Source: RefSeq, a predicted model, not a curated record
GGGUGCGCUUCAGCCUCUCCUUCUUCUGGCUCCCACCACUGCCUGCCUUGCCAGACUAUGAGCUUCUGGAGGGAAGGAGCCAGGAUGGUCUUUCUCAGUUGGACCCCAGGACUGACUUUGCCAGAAACAAGGUGGACCCAGAAGAGAGCAAGGUGACAUGCUGGUGCCUCAGAUUCAUACAAGUCACCCACACCCUUUUGUCUGCUGACAGAAUUCUGUGUCAGAGAAAGGAGGUGUCUGGUCCAAGGUCACAGGCUGAUUCAAGGAAAUGUGGUGCUUUUGUUGGGAUUUACUUUGCCUACAUUUUGCACAGCCUCAGGAUCAGAGAAUCAGUCUGACUGAUAGGAUGUUAUUCUCAUGUCUCUUGAAGGUCAAGGUGACCAAGCCCCAGCUCAGUAGAUGUGAAUAUUAGGACUUUAUGGGAUUUGCAAAGGGAGGGCAAAUGGAGCCUACACAGCUGUGCAAACCCUUUGUCCUUCCUUCUGUCCUCAUGCUCAUCCUCUGAAAGGUAGCCAUCCUGAGCCCUCCUCCACAGAACUCUGUAGGAGAAAGAGCAUCCCAGCUCCAUCCUGUGCCACAGAUAUUGUGGGUGCAUAUAGGGCUGUUCCCAGACUCUGAACUCCAAGCUGAAGAGGAGGGAUGAGCUUCUGUGGGGGUGUCUGGAUGCUGAGUUACCUACCACAGCCUCUGGUUUUUGGUGUUUGCUCAUUUCUGGAGAAGGGAGGGAGUCUAAGCAGGACACCUCAGUGGGAACAGAGCUCUCCUUUCCCAAGCAGAAUGACAGGAGCCACUGUAUUCUCUCCCUUUCCUGUAUCC